Gossypium hirsutum (cotton) is the source of this 144-nucleotide non-coding RNA. Lineage: Eukaryota; Viridiplantae; Streptophyta; Magnoliopsida; Malvales; Malvaceae. The record is from Rfam.
UGUUAAAAAUUUUAUCCAUUUGUAUCAUUAAAAAUUGACAUGAUUGACGAAAGAACGAGAUAGUGACAUGUAACGUGUCGCAUGUACCUCAUGUUGUGUACUAAGACCAAUUUUUAACAGAAGAAAUGGAUAAAAUUUUUAAUA